RNAcentral lists this transfer RNA (67 nucleotides) under Marmota monax (woodchuck). RNAcentral describes it as "tRNA.Val". It matches the Rfam family "tRNA". Rfam says of the family: Transfer RNA (tRNA) molecules are approximately 80 nucleotides in length. Their secondary structure includes four short double-helical elements and three loops (D, anti-codon, and T loops). Further hydrogen bonds mediate the characteristic L-shaped molecular structure. tRNAs have two regions of fundamental functional importance: the anti-codon, which is responsible for specific mRNA codon recognition, and the 3' end, to which the tRNAs corresponding amino acid is attached (by aminoacyl-tRNA synthetases). tRNAs cope with the degeneracy of the genetic code in two manners: having more than one tRNA (with a specific anti-codon) for a particular amino acid; and 'wobble' base-pairing, i.e. permitting non-standard base-pairing at the 3rd anti-codon position. The record is from RNAcentral. Lineage: Eukaryota; Metazoa; Chordata; Mammalia; Rodentia; Sciuridae.
GGUUAUAGCUUAGUUGGUAGAGUGCUUGCCUCACAUGCACAUGGCCCUGGGUUCAAUCCCAGCACCA